RNAcentral lists this ribosomal RNA (233 nucleotides) under Campylobacter ornithocola. RNAcentral describes it as "partial 23S ribosomal RNA". It matches the Rfam family "Bacterial large subunit ribosomal RNA", at positions 1957 to 2189 of the family's 2925-position model. The record is from RNAcentral. Lineage: Bacteria; Pseudomonadati; Campylobacterota; Epsilonproteobacteria; Campylobacterales; Campylobacteraceae.
UAGCGAAAUUCCUUGACGGUUAAAUACCGAGCUGCAUGAAUGGCGUAACGAGAUGGGAGCUGUCUCAAAGAGGGUUCCAGUGAAUUUGUAGUGGAGGUGAAAAUUCCUCCUACCCGCGGCAAGAAGGAAAGACCCCGUGGAUCUAUAAUAAGACAUGACACAGCUAUUUGGAUUAGAAUUUGCAGGAUAGGAGGGAGGCUUUGGGUAGAUGACGCCAGAUGCAGAUGAGCCGU